GACGAACGCUGGCGGCGUGCUUAACACAUGCAAGUCGAACGGAAAGGCCCUGCUUUUGUGGGGUGCUCGAGUGGCGAACGGGUGAGUAACACGUGAGUAACCUGCCCUUGACUUUGGGAUAACUUCAGGAAACUGGGGCUAAUACCGGAAAGGAGCUCCUGCUGCAUGGUGGGGGUUGGAAAGUUUCGGCGGUUGGGUAUGGACUCGCGGCUUAUCCGCUUGUUGUUGGGGUAGUGGCUUACCAAGGCUUUGACGGGUAGAGGGCCUGAGAGGGUGACCGGCCAGAUUGGGACUGCUGUACGGCCCAGCCUCCUACGGUAGGCAGCAGUGGCGUAUAUUGCACAGUGGGCGCAAGCCUGAUGCAGCAACGCCGCGUGCGGGAUAACGGCCUUCUGGUUGUAAACCGCUUUCGCAUGUGACGAAGCGUGAGUGACGGUAAUGGGUAAAGAAGCACCGGCUAACUACGUG
Molecule: ribosomal RNA, 468 nt
Filed under: uncultured bacterium
Lineage: Bacteria
Description: partial 16S ribosomal RNA
Rfam family: Bacterial small subunit ribosomal RNA
Source: RNAcentral